AGGCUUAACACAUGCAAGUCGAGGGGCAGCAUGGUCUUAGCUUGCUAAGGCCGAUGGCGACCGGCGCACGGGUGAGUAACACGUAUCCAACCUGCCGUCUACUCUUGGACAGCCUUCUGAAAGGAAGAUUAAUACAAGAUGGCAUCAUGAGUCCGCAUGUUCACAUGAUUAAAGGUAUUCCGGUAGACGAUGGGGAUGCGUUCCAUUAGAUAGUAGGCGGGGUAACGGCCCACCUAGUCUUCGAUGGAUAGGGGUUCUGAGAGGAAGGUCCCCCACAUUGGAACUGAGACACGGUCCAAACUCCUACGGGAGGCAGCAGUGAGGAAUAUUGGUCAAUGGGCGAGAGCCUGAACCAGCCAAGUAGCGUGAAGGAUGACUGCCCUAUGGGUUGUAAACUUCUUUUAUAAAGGAAUAAAGUCGGGUAUGGAUACCCGUUUGCAUGUACUUUAUGAAUAAGGAUCGGCUAACUCCGUGCCAGCAGCCGCGGUAAUACGGAGGAUCCGAGCGUUAUCCGGAUUUAUUGGGUUUAAAGGGAGCGUAGAUGGAUGUUUAAGUCAGUUGUGAAAGUUUGCGGCUCAACCGUAAAAUUGCAGUUGAUACUGGAUAUCUUGAGUGCAGUUGAGGCAGGCGGAAUUCGUGGUGUAGCGGUGAAAUGCUUAGAUAUCACGAAGAACUCCGAUUGCGAAGGCAGCCUGCUAAGCUGCAACUGACAUUGAGGCUCGAAAGUGUGGGUAUCAAACAGGAUUAGAUACCCUGGUAGUCCACACGGUAAACGAUGAAUACUCGCUGUUUGCGAUAUACUGCAAGCGGCCAAGCGAAAGCGUUAAGUAUUCCACCUGGGGAGUACGCCGGCAACGGCGAAACUCAAAGGAAUUGACGGGGGCCCGCACAAGCGGAGGAACAUGUGGUUUAAUUCGAUGAUACGCGAGGAACCUUACCCGGGCUUAAAUUGCAGAUGAAUUACGGUGAAAGCCGUAAGCCGCAAGGCAUCUGUGAAGGUGCUGCAUGGUUGUCGUCAGCUCGUGCCGUGAGGUGUCGGCUUAAGUGCCAUAACGAGCGCAACCCUUGUUGUCAGUUACUAACAGGUUCCGCUGAGGACUCUGACAAGACUGCCAUCGUAAGAUGUGAGGAAGGUGGGGAUGACGUCAAAUCAGCACGGCCCUUACGUCCGGGGCUACACACGUGUUACAAUGGGGGGUACAGAGGGCCGCUACCACGCGAGUGGAUGCCAAUCCCCAAAACCUCUCUCAGUUCGGACUGGAGUCUGCAACCCGACUCCACGAAGCUGGAUUCGCUAGUAAUCGCGCAUCAGCCACGGCGCGGUGAAUACGUUCCCGGGCCUUGUACACACCGCCCGUCAAGCCAUGGGAGCCGGGGGUACCUGAAGUGCGUAACCGCGAGGAGCGCCCUAGGGUAAAACUGGUGACUGGGGCU
RNAcentral lists this ribosomal RNA (1434 nucleotides) under uncultured bacterium. RNAcentral describes it as "bacterial SSU rRNA". It matches the Rfam family "Bacterial small subunit ribosomal RNA". The record is from RNAcentral.